UCUCAUACCAUCUCAUUAUCCCAACACAAAAAACCCAAGAAAUGCACCACUUAACAAUCACCCUUGAUCAAAAUCUUGCAUCUCCAUUCAUCAUUUUUCCUAUAUAUUCUCUUCAUAAACACUACAAAGACCCACCCAUGCGCACAGCCUUAUCCCUCUUCCGUACACUCACCACCGCCGUCCCCCACUACCGCCGCCGCCGUCUCCUGACCCCCAUCUUCUCACCACAAAACCCAAUUCGAAUUAGCCUUUUUUGCUCCCAAUCUUCAGUCAGUAAUUUUGUCGAACAUUUGGUGAGCCAAGAUGAAAGUUUGGAUUUUGAUAAUGAUAAUGAGAGUUUUAAGUUUGAACCUUGUUUUGGGUCGAAUCUUGAUGAUUCAAAGAACUUAAAUUCGCCUGCUUUAGAUGUUAAGGAACUUGAUGAGUUGCCUGAACAGUGGAGAAGGUCUAAAUUGGCUUGGCUGUGUAAAGAGCUUCCCUCACAUAAGGCGCCUACUCUUGUUAGAAUAUUGAAUGCGCAACGAAAAUGGGUUAAUCAAGAUGACAUGACUUAUCUUGCUGUUCAUUGUAUGCGAAUUCGCGAAAAUGAAACUGGAGUUCGGGUUUACAAAUGGAUGAUGCAGCAACAUUGGUUUCGGUUUGAUUUUGCUCUUGCUACUAGGCUAGCGGAUUACAUGGGGAAGGAGAGAAAGUAUUUAAAAUGUAGGGAGAUAUUUGAUGACAUAAUUAAUCAUGGUUUAGUCCCUACAGAAUAUACUUUUCAUGUUUUGAUAGUUUCCUACCUUAGUUCAUCAAACCGUGGUUGUUUAGAUGAAGCGUGUGCUAUCUACAAUCAAAUGAUUCAAUUAGGAAAUUAUAGUCCCCGACUUAGCCUACAUAAUUCUCUCUUCAAAGCUAUUCUGACUGCACCCAAUGACACUUCAAAACGAUAUGUUAAUCAAGCGGAGUUCAUAUUUCAUCAAAUGGUAACAUCUGGAUUCAAGGUUCAUAAGGAUAUUUACAGUGGUCUUAUUUGGCUUCAUAGCCAUCAAGAUAAGAUAGAUAAAGAAAGAAUUGCAUCAUUAAGAGCUGAAAUGCAAUUAUCCGGAUUUGAAGAGAGUAAAGAUGUGCUUGUGUCUGCUUUGAGAGCUUGCUCAAAAGAAGGGGAUAUUGAAGAAGCUGAAGAGAUAUGGAAAAGGCUUCUUAGCUCAACUCACAACAUUCCUUCACAAGCUUUUGUAUAUAAAAUGGAAACUUAUGCCAGAAUUGGAGAACAUAUGAGAUCGUUGGAGGUAUUUAAGAGUAUGCAGGAACAAUUAGGUUCAGUGAGCGCUGGGGGAUUUCAUAAAAUGAUUGAAGUAUUGUGUAAAGCACAUGCUGCAGAACUCGCGGAGUCUAUCAUGAAAGAAUUUAUUGAAAGUGGUAAGAAGCCACUAAUGCCCUCAUUUAUUGAUUUAAUGGACAUGUAUUUUACACUAGGCAUGCAUAACAAGCUGGAGUAUACCUUUCUCCAGUCCCUGGAGAAAUGUUCUCCCAGUCGUACAAUCUUCAAUUUAUAUCUGAAAUCACUUGUACGUACUGGCAAACUUGAAAAAGCUGAAGAUAUAUUACGCCAAAUGCAGAAUCUUGAGGGUGUUGGUAUUGAUACCGAAUCUUGCAACAGUAUUUUAAGAGGGUAUUUAGAUAGCAGAGAGUAUCUUAAGGCAAAAAAGAUGUAUGCUUUAAUGAAUGAGAAAAAGUAUCAUAUUGAGUCUGAACUGAUUGAAAAUCUUGAACGUGUUUUGAGGUCAAAUGAAGAAGCCCUUAAGAACCCCUCACGUUUAAAGCUUAGCAAAGAACAACGAGAAGCUCUUGUGGGGUUACUGUUAGGUGGUUUACAGAUUGAAUCAGAUGAAAAAAGAAAGAGUCAUAUGCUCAUUUUCAAGUUUAAUGAGAACUCAGGUGUACAUAAGGUUCUGAAGAGGCAUAUAUGCAACGAAUAUAAUGAGUGGUUGGAUCUAUCUAAUAAACAAGAUGACCAAUUUACUACAAUUUCGCACUCUUAUUUUGGAUUUUAUGCAGACCAAUUUUGGCCACAAGGUCAGCCAGUUAUUCCAAAGUUAGUCCAUCGAUGGUUAUCGCCACGGGUUCUUGCAUAUUGGUAUAUGUAUGGGGGACAUAAAACAUCAUCAGGGGAUAUUUUGUUGAAGAUUAGGGGAAGUAAAGAUGGGGUUGAAAGAAUUGUCAAAACAUUACAGAAAAAGUCAUUGACUUGUAAAGUCAAACAAAAGGGGAGAGUGUAUUGGAUAGGUUUACUUGGAAGCAACUCGGCGUGGUUUUGGAAACUGGUGGACCCAUACAUUGUAAUGGAUUUAAAAAAUCUUUUAAAGCCAGGGCAUGUAUCCUCUGAUCUGAAGGAAGAGUCCCAAACCGUUGACUUCGAUAGAAGUGAUUCUGAUUAUUGUGAGGAUGAUAAUUGAUGCAUCAUAGGACUUCUUUUUGUCAUUUUUGUGAUGUUAUGACUUAACUGCGCAAAAGGCAAGAAGAAGGUUUCUUUUCUUUUCUUGCUGCACUGAAACUAAGUGUUGGCCAAUCUUUGUGACUUGGAUCUUGGAAUGAGCGAGUUCUACCAUAGUCACCCAAGACUUCUUUCAAUCUUAUUAUGAUGGUGGACAUUACCAUUAGAUACAAGACUGUCCUAAACUUUCCCAAGAACUUGGCUCCAGUAGAGUUCAAGGAAGGCGUACAAGGUUUAUUGAUGUAUUUCUGUAGGUCUCAGUCGAGUCUAACAUGGCUUGUGGGUGGCAAUUCGUUUGUUAUCAUUGGUAGAUGCAUCAGACUUUGGAUGAGUUGGGAAAGAUUUUUAAGAAUCUUUGCCCAACACCAACCAUUUGGCAUUAUCACUACAACAAUCACGAACGCAACAUCUGCAUUUCUUACAAUCACGAAGCCAUAUCAUCGUUUAUUUCACCAUGUAAAACCAACUCAACUCCUGUUGUCACUCAUCUUUCUCUCUAACAAUUGUAGAUCUCCUUAAUGUCAUGUGUGUGUGGGGAAAAACCUCUCCACGUUGAACGGCGAAUAAUGUCAUCCCAUUCUCAACACCCCGAUGCUGAGCACACCUAGGCUCACUGUCAUAUGCCGAACCCAUUUCGUUUGCUCUAAUGCAUAAUGGUAAGAAACCACAAGUUCUUUCAUAUUAAAGCAACCCCAAGCCCCAAGGGGAGUUUUUUCUUUCUUUUUUUUUUUCUUGUCAUGAGCCGCCUAUCACUUAAAUGUAUUCGUUGUAACUUGUGAGCCAUCGGAGAUGGGGAUGAUUUUUAGUGUGAUGGAAGCAGCGUGACCGUGGUCACAAUGUGGAGCUUUGUAUGAUAUUUUAUGUAUUAGGAUCUAGUUUUGUCAAUAUGAUCAUUGAAGUGAAAAAUAGUCAAAUGUGUGUUGAUAUGGAA
Molecule: RNA transcript, 3407 nt
Organism: Erigeron canadensis
Lineage: Eukaryota; Viridiplantae; Streptophyta; Magnoliopsida; Asterales; Asteraceae
Gene name: pentatricopeptide repeat-containing protein At2g15820, chloroplastic
Exons: 3
Source: RefSeq, a predicted model, not a curated record